UAUUAAAACAACAACAACAAUAAAUAAGUGGCACCAUACCGGUAUUUUACCUGUUGGGUAAAUUAUUAUUCAUAAUCAUUACUUUUACGAUAGGAUUUUUCUUUUCCGUAAGUUCUGCAAACAGCCACUAGGUUGUACUAUUAAGCUAAAAUUAGCCAAAAGGUUUUGUUUUUGAUUUUGAAUCCUUUCAUUGUUAGCCGCAUGGCAGCAGAUCUUUGGAUAAGUGCAGAUUUUAGGGUAGUUCCUGCUUUUCUUCCGGUACCUGAUGGGGAGGGACAGUACGCUACGUCAGCAGCCGUGUUACUAUAACAGGAGCCUUGGAAAAAACAAAGACAUAUGUUACCAGAUUGAGGCUGUCACAUCUACACUUGAUCCCUGGGUGAAGACUGAUGGUGCUAACAAUAAAAAAGGAA
Xiphophorus hellerii (green swordtail) is the source of this 413-nucleotide long non-coding RNA. RefSeq lists it as uncharacterized. NCBI's taxonomy places the organism in Eukaryota, Metazoa, Chordata, Actinopteri, Cyprinodontiformes, Poeciliidae. The transcript has 3 exons. The record is from RefSeq and is a predicted model, not a curated record.